ACGCUGGCGGCGUGCUUACACAUGCAAGUCGAGCGAUGAAACUACUUCGGUAGUGAAUUAGCGGCGAACGGGUGAGGAACACGUGAGGAAUCUGCCUUCAACACUGGGAUAACUCCGGGAAACCGGGGCUAAUACCGGAUACGAGCCUUGAUCGCAUGAUCGAGGCUGGAAAGUUUUUCGGUUGAAGAUGACCUCGCGGCCUAUCAGCUUGUUGGUGAGGUAAUGGCUCACCAAGGCGACGACGGGUAGCCGGCCUGAGAGGGCGACCGGCCACACUGGGACUGAGACACGGCCCAGACUCCUACGGGAGGCAGCAGUGGGGAAUAUUGGGCAAUGGAGGAAACUCUGACCCAGCGACGCCGCGUGCGGGAUGAAGGCCUUCGGGUUGUAAACCGCUUUCAGUAGGGAAGAAGCGAAAGUGACGGUACCUACAGAAGAAGCACCGGCUAACUAUGUGCCAGCAGCCGCGGUAAUACAUAGGGUGCAAGCGUUGUCCGGAAUUAUUGGGCGUAAAGAGCUCGUAGGUGGUUUGAUACGUCGGGUGUGAAAUUCAGGGGCUCAACCCCUGACCUGCAUUCGAUACGGUCAAGCUAGAGUUUGGUAGGGGAGACUGGAAUUCCUGGUGUAGCGGUGGAAUGCGCAGAUAUCAGGAGGAACACCGAUGGCGAAGGCAGGUCUCUGGGCCAAUACUGACACUGAGGAGCGAAAGCGUGGGGAGCGAACAGGAUUAGAUACCCUGGUAGUCCACGCCGUAAACGGUGGGCGCUAGUUGUGCGAACCUUCCACGGUUGUGCGACGCAGCUAACGCAUUA
This 812-nucleotide ribosomal RNA is filed under the name uncultured Actinomycetes bacterium. RNAcentral describes it as "bacterial SSU rRNA". It matches the Rfam family "Bacterial small subunit ribosomal RNA", at positions 33 to 862 of the family's 1533-position model. The record is from RNAcentral. Lineage: Bacteria; Bacillati; Actinomycetota; Actinomycetes.